UACGUAGGGUGCAAGCGUUGUCCGGAAUUAUUGGGCGUAAAGAGCUCGUAGGCGGCUUGUCACGUCGGCUGUGAAAUCCCGAGGCUCAACCUCGGGUCUGCAGUCGAUACGGGCGGACUGGAGUUCGGCAGGGGAGACUGGAAUUCCUGGUGUAGCGGUGAAAUGCGCAGAUAUCAGGAGGAACACCGGUGGCGAAGGCGGGUCUCUGGGCCGAUACUGACGCUGAGGAGCGAAAGCGUGGGGAGCGAACAGG
Molecule: ribosomal RNA, 253 nt
Filed under: uncultured bacterium
Lineage: Bacteria
Description: partial 16S ribosomal RNA
Rfam family: Bacterial small subunit ribosomal RNA
Source: RNAcentral